UGGGGAAUUUUGGACAAUGGGCGAAAGCCUGAUCCAGCAAUGCCGCGUGUGUGAAGAAGGCCUUCGGGUUGUAAAGCACUUUUGUCCGGAAAGAAAUCCUUGGCUCUAAUACAGUCGGGGGAUGACGGUACCGGAAGAAUAAGCACCGGCUAACUACGUGCCAGCAGCCGCGGUAAUACGUAGGGUGCAAGCGUUAAUCGGAAUUACUGGGCGUAAAGCGUGCGCAGGCGGUUUGCUAAGACCGAUGUGAAAUCCCCGGGCUCAACCUGGGAACUGCAUUGGUGACUGGCAGGCUAGAGUAUGGCAGAGGGGGGUAGAAUUCCACGUGUAGCAGUGAAAUGCGUAGAGAUGUGGAGGAAUACCGAUGGCGAAGGCAGCCCCCUGGGCCAAUACUGACGCUCAUGCACGAAAGCGUGGGGAGCAAACAGGAUUAGAUACCCUGGUAGUCCACGCCCUAAACGAUGUCAACUAGUUGUUGGGGAUUCAUUUCCUUAGUAACGUAGCUAACGCGUGAAGUUGACCGCCUGGGGAGCACGGUCGCAAGAUUAAAACUCAAAGGAAUUGACGGGGUCAUAGCUGUUUCC
RNAcentral lists this ribosomal RNA (584 nucleotides) under uncultured bacterium. Its description in RNAcentral is "partial 16S ribosomal RNA". It matches the Rfam family "Bacterial small subunit ribosomal RNA", at positions 355 to 937 of the family's 1533-position model. The record is from RNAcentral.